This is a non-coding RNA of Callorhinchus milii (elephant shark), 414 nucleotides long. The record is from the annotation of a RefSeq genome assembly. Lineage: Eukaryota; Metazoa; Chordata; Chondrichthyes; Chimaeriformes; Callorhinchidae.
AUGAACAGAUGCAUGUGGCGGACCGCGAAUGGAGUCAGUGUCCAACCAUCACAGGUGGAAGUGUCUGAUGCUGAAGGCCAGAAUGCAACACUGAGCUGCACCUACUCAGCUGAUUUCAGCAAUGUUUUUAUGUACUGGUACCGUCAGUAUCCAGGAGAGCCUCCUCUGUACACCCGGAGACACGACUAUGAUGGGGAUACUUUCAGCGCUGAAUUUGCAAAACAACGUUUCAGCACUACAAUGGACACCAACACAAAGAGAUACGGCUUAACUGUCUUCCCCGUCGCUCUGUCUGACAUGGCGAAAUACUAUUGUGCCAUCAGACUCACAGUGUUGCUGUCAGAUUACACCGCUGUACAUAAACCUCCAAAGAGAAGAGAAAGAGAUACGUCUCAGAACAAAUGUUAUUCCUGA